UACGUAGGGCGCAAGCGUUGUCCGGAAUUAUUGGGCGUAAAGAGCUCGUAGGCGGUUUGUCGCGUCUGCUGUGGAAACCCGAGGCUCAACCUCGGGCCUGCAGUGGGUACGGGCAGACUAGAGUGCGGUAGGGGAGACUGGAAUUCCUGGUGUAGCGGUGGAAUGCGCAGAUAUCAGGAGGAACACCGAUGGCGAAGGCAGGUCUCUGGGCCGCAACUGACGCUGAGGAGCGAAAGCAUGGGGAGCGAACAGGAUUAGAUA
This 261-nucleotide ribosomal RNA is filed under the name uncultured prokaryote. Its description in RNAcentral is "partial 16S ribosomal RNA". It matches the Rfam family "Bacterial small subunit ribosomal RNA", at positions 524 to 784 of the family's 1533-position model. The record is from RNAcentral.